AACGAACGCUGGCGGCAUGCCUAACACAUGCAAGUCGAACGAGACCUUCGGGUCUAGUGGCGCACGGGUGCGUAACGCGUGGGAACCUGCCCUUAGGUUCGGAAUAACUCCCCGAAAGGGGUGCUAAUACCGGAUAAUGUCUUCGGACCAAAGAUUUAUCGCCAUUGGAUGGGCCCGCGUUGGAUUAGCUAGUUGGUAGGGUAAAAGCCUACCAAGGCGACGAUCCAGAGCUGGUCUGAGAGGAGGACCUGCCACACUGGGGCUGCGACACGGCCCAGACUCCUACGGGAGGCAGCAGUAGGGAAUAUUGGGCAAUGGGCGAAAGCCUGAUACAGCAGUGCCGCGUGAGUGAUGCAGGCCUUAGUGUUGUAAAGCUCUUUGUCCCGAGGUGAUAGUGACGGUACCGGGAGAAGAAGCACCGGCUAACUCCGUG
RNAcentral lists this ribosomal RNA (433 nucleotides) under uncultured bacterium. Its description in RNAcentral is "partial 16S ribosomal RNA". It matches the Rfam family "Bacterial small subunit ribosomal RNA", at positions 29 to 507 of the family's 1533-position model. The record is from RNAcentral.